This 467-nucleotide ribosomal RNA is filed under the name Notostichopus ludwigi. Its description in RNAcentral is "partial 16S ribosomal RNA". It matches the Rfam family "Bacterial large subunit ribosomal RNA", at positions 1928 to 2590 of the family's 2925-position model. Lineage: Eukaryota; Metazoa; Echinodermata; Holothuroidea; Aspidochirotida; Stichopodidae. The record is from RNAcentral.
CGGCCGCGGUAUUUUGACCGUGCAAAGGUAGCAUAAUCACUUGUCUCUUAAAUGGGGACCUGUAUGAAUGGCUUCACAUUUUUUUACUGUCUCCCUUCUUCUCCCUCUAAACUUCUAUUUACGUGAAGAAGCGUAACUUCCAAAGAAAGACGAGAAGACCCUGUCGAGCUUUAACUAAAGCCGAAAGACUUAAUUAACCUCAAUAAAAGGAAAACACAUUUGGCCGAAGUUUUGGUUGGGGCAACCAUGGAGUAAAUCUAACCUCCAGUUUUUUAGAAAGAGAACUACUCAUCUAGAUUCACCACUCAGAGAACCAGAAACUCUGGCAAACGGAAAAAGUUACCGCAGGGAUAACAGCGUUAUCUUCUCCAAGAGCUCAUAUUGACGAGAAGGAUUGCGACCUCGAUGUUGGAUUGGGGUAACCCGAGGGUGCAGCAGCUCUCUGAGGUUGGACUGUUCGUCCAUUA